AUUGAACGCUGGCGGCAGGCCUAACACAUGCAAGUCGAACGGUAACAGGAAACAGCUUGCUGUUUCGCUGACGAGUGGCGGACGGGUGAGUAAUGUCUGGGAAACUGCCUGAUGGAGGGGGAUAACUACUGGAAACGGUAGCUAAUACCGCAUAACGUCGCAAGACCAAAGAGGGGGACCUUCGGGCCUCUUGCCAUCGGAUGUGCCCAGAUGGGAUUAGCUAGUAGGUGGGGUAACGGCUCACCUAGGCGACGAUCCCUAGCUGGUCUGAGAGGGUGACCAGCCACACUGGAACUGAGACACGGUCCAGACUCCUACGGGAGGCAGCAGUGGGGAAUAUUGCACAAUGGGCGCAAGCCUGAUGCAGCCAUGCCGCGUGUAUGAAGAAGGCCUUCGGGUUGUAAAGUACUUUCAGCGGGGAGGAAGGGAGUAAAGUUAAUACCUUUACUCAUUGACGUUACCCGCAGAAGAAGCACCGGCUAACUCCGUG
RNAcentral lists this ribosomal RNA (490 nucleotides) under uncultured bacterium. RNAcentral describes it as "partial 16S ribosomal RNA". It matches the Rfam family "Bacterial small subunit ribosomal RNA", at positions 30 to 507 of the family's 1533-position model. The record is from RNAcentral.